This is a long non-coding RNA of Dromaius novaehollandiae (emu), 2768 nucleotides long. RefSeq lists it as uncharacterized. The transcript has 2 exons. The record is from RefSeq and is a predicted model, not a curated record. Lineage: Eukaryota; Metazoa; Chordata; Aves; Casuariiformes; Dromaiidae.
UUUUGCACAGCGCACCUCACACGCUGCAAGUACUUACACCGCUGAAACGCUCGCUGUGGGAACCUCCCGGGCCACUGACAGCCGCACGCGCCCAGGAGAGAAGGAACGGCAGGCAAAUAGCAAGGAACCGUAACACAGGCACAAGGGCAGAGCCACUCAGACGCCUCCCUUUGCCAUCGCAGAAGCAUGUUGAUGGGACACAAAGGUAAGUCCAAUGCUGACCAUCAAUCUCCUUCAAUGGCUUUGCCAGAGACCGUCCCACAGUUAAGAGCAGGUACAUAAGCCUGCAGCUUAUGUUUUGGACACUGGGGAUAUUAACAGUUGUUGAAGCAACAUUUCUUUCGUUUCAAAUAGCCAUGACAGCUCCCUUUAAAAUGCAUUUUGUUGGAGUGCAGAUAUGCUUGGUCAGGUACAGUCAUAAGAUCGAAGGAAGAAGAAGCCAAGACGCUGGUAGCUUGCUCCUUUCCUUCCCUUCCCCACCUGCCUGCUUUCCAAUGUCACAGACUCCAAACUUGGCACAGUGAGGUUUCAGGGCCCAUGUAGCUCCCUUAUCAGUCAUUUUAAGUCAAAGACACAAAAGGCCAAAAGGCCUUUAGUUAGAUGCUCAGCUGGCAACAGCAGACAAAAGCACCUGUCAGUCGGUUCCUGCCACGUUAGACGGCUCCUUCCACCCUCCAGUUCAGCUUCUGGGCAUGCUCUUCUAUACUCAGCUGUUCUUUUUGUUUGUUUGUUUCUUUCUUUUUUUUUAACCUAUUUUCGCCUUUUUCUCAUUUCACCCAACCUCUGUACUCUCUAUUUUCAUUAUUCUAUAUUAAUAUUCGUUUUACCUCACUUGAGGUGGUUUUAUUUGUUUGUUUGCUUGUUUGUUUGUUUUGCACUUCAGAGUCAUUCCCAACAUUUUAAGGAAAGCAAGUUCAUGGAAGAAGUAUACCUUUUACCUACUAUGGUACUGUUCUCUAUAUUUAUAUAUAAUUUUCCCCUGUCCUUUCUUUAGUCUAUUUAGACAGCUCUUCAGAGAGGCUUUCUUUUAAUCUGCAUUUAUGCAACAGAUCCCCAUAUAUUAGAUCCCAGUUUUGGCUGGGUUCCCCAGGUUUGUGCAGAAAUAAUGGAUAUAACUGACACAAGAUAGACUCAUCUGCAGCUUUUCUGGAAUAAUGGCAGAAGGUUCAACUUUUCACCCAUAAAGGAAACAAGUCAGUGAUGAAGUGAUACAAUUCUCUACCUAAGUGCUAAGGUAGCCCAGGAUUUCAGAUCUGGGAUCCUGGUCCUUUUCUAAGUUCCCCAGAACACGGAUGGAGAUAAAAGUAAUGUAAUCUUUUACAUAACUUAAACGCUGUUCUGCAAAGGGGCCUGUGUAGAUAUUUUCUCCCUCCAUUCUCCCAGCAGAAGGGGUUACUCCCACUUCGAAGCUAUCUUUUAAAAGUUUUAUUAUGGUGGUUUUUAUGAACAUGGUAUUGGGAUACAGCUCCUGAAACUACAGCCUUCAAUCUACCCAACUGAAGGGGGAAAGCAGAGAGUGGCCACCCACCCUUUUUCAGCGUCAUGCUAACCUGAACAAAUCAUACCUAGUGAUGCUAAAGUAGGUACCUAAAACUUGUGGGAGGAGAGCCUGUAUUUUGGCCGUAAGUACAAGCAACUCAGAAGAAGCCGGCUGAGCAUGGGAUACCCCAUUUCCUCUUUUAUGAGAUGCUGACUGCAGAAAGUAGCACCGUGCCAUAAGCCUACACCUGCCUCAGGACAGGAUCUCUCCACAUACUUCCUAGGACUGGAUGUUAGGACACUUAUGAGCUUUUCAUAGCUUUUUCAUAGCUAAACAGUUGAAGACUUCUGCACAUGUAGAACACAUUAUACAGAUCACAAUGGAGAGGGAAAAACUGCUUGGAAUAAAGCUUGGGAGAGUUAGGAGAAAAAACUGUAAGUAACCUUGCAGUUUUCCCAAAUUACCUAAACGGAAGUGUGGUUGAUGCCCUUUCCUCAGUUCACUGUGUGUGCUAAAUAGGAAAGGCCUGGUAACUUUGCAGAUCUGUGACACCUGACAAAUUGGAGGACCUACAGCAGUGAGAGCCCAUUCCUCCCUUCUAGUUCCUGCCACUCUUUUUCUUUUUCCUUUCUUUUUUGGGGGGUACCCGAUCUCCAGUAGAACAAUGUUACCAGGCCUCCUUCGACCACCUGCUGCUGCCUCUGGAAGCUCUCUGAGAUGACACAAAUGAAACACUUCAGCUCAGAAACGGUCCCAAAGAGAUCCUAAUAAUGACCAAAUGAAAAGCCAUCAGAGGCCCAGCUCCAAACGUAAAGCUGGAUUGGGAGCAUUUCCUCUAGCAGUUCAGUACACUGCUAGUGUAGGUUAUCCUAAACCGCAGUAUUAUGUGGGGUUAUAUUUACACCACUCUAAUGCAGCACAUACUGUGUAGCUCCUAGGAAUCUCUUCUGUUUGCUCCAUACAUCGACUGCAAGCCGACAUGCAACAGGAUUUGUUUCUGGUCAAAGGCAAAAUAUUCUUGUGGAAUUUGAGCUGAUGCUUUUGAAGUUGUGCAAGUAAGGAGAUGGACACAUCACCCAAGUUCUGCAGCAUGGUUCACCAUGUGUUUAACAGCUAUGACAGAACUGCUAGUUAUCUAAUGAAAGUGUGAACUGCUACAAAAUACUCACUGACUGCAGUCAGAGAUGUAAAGACGCUGUUCAUUCCCGUAGCAUGCUGCAUGUGCAGAGCAGGACUGGGGCUGUGCUGUUGACUAAGCUAUUCUGAAGCAUUAAAAACUGGCCCAGCA